UACGUAGGGUGCAAGCGUUGUCCGGAAUUAUUGGGCGUAAAGAGCUCGUAGGCGGUCUGUCGCGUCGGAUGUGAAAAUCCAGGGCUCAACCCUGGACCUGCAUUCGAUACGGGCAGACUAGAGUUCGGUAGGGGAGACUGGAAUUCCUGGUGUAGCGGUGAAAUGCGCAGAUAUUGGGAGGAACACCAGUGGCGAAGGCGGCUACCUGGACCGGAACUGACGCUGAGGCGCGAAAGCGUGGGUAGCAAACAGG
This 253-nucleotide ribosomal RNA is filed under the name uncultured bacterium. RNAcentral describes it as "partial 16S ribosomal RNA". It matches the Rfam family "Bacterial small subunit ribosomal RNA", at positions 524 to 776 of the family's 1533-position model. The record is from RNAcentral.